RNAcentral lists this ribosomal RNA (422 nucleotides) under uncultured bacterium. Its description in RNAcentral is "partial 16S ribosomal RNA". It matches the Rfam family "Bacterial small subunit ribosomal RNA", at positions 359 to 773 of the family's 1533-position model. The record is from RNAcentral.
GAAUUUUGGACAAUGGGCGAAAGCCUGAUCCAGCAAUGCCGCGUGCAGGAUGAAGGCCUUCGGGUUGUAAACUGCUUUUGUACGGAACGAACAGCUUUUGGUUAAUCCCCUGGAGUCCUGACGUUCCCGUAAGAAUAAGCCCCCGCCCACCACGUGCCCGCAGCCGCGGUAAUACGUAGGGUGCAAGCGUUAAUCGGAAUUACUGGGCGUAAAGCGGGCGCAGGCGGUUUUGUAAGACAGAGGUGAAAUCCCCGGGCGCAACCUGGGAACUGCCUUUGUGACUGCAAGGCUAGAGUACGGCAGAGGGGGGUGGAAUUCCGCGUGUAGCAGUGAAAUGCGUAGAUAUGCGGAGGAACACCGAUGGCGAAGGCAACCCCCUGGGCCUGUACUGACGCUCAUGCACGAAAGCGUGGGGAGCAAAC